GCAGUCGAACGAGAAUCUGCUGAAGGAGGAUUCGUCCAACGGAAGUAGAGGAAAGUGGCGGACGGGUGAGUAACGCGUGAGGAACCUGCCUUGAAGAGGGGGACAACAGUUGGAAACGACUGCUAAUACCGCAUGAAGCAUAGGGGUCGCAUGAUUCUUAUGCCAAAGAUUUAUCGCUUCAAGAUGGCCUCGCGUCUGAUUAGCUAGUUGGCGGGGUAACGGCCCACCAAGGCGACGAUCAGUAGCCGGACUGAGAGGUUGAACGGCCACAUUGGGACUGAGAUACGGCCCAGACUCCUACGGGAGGCAGCAGUGGGGAAUAUUGGGCAAUGGGCGCAAGCCUGACCCAGCAACGCCGCGUGAAGGAAGAAGGCUUUCGGGUUGUAAACUUCUUUUAAGAGGGAAGAGCAGAAGACGGUACCUCUAGAAUAAGCCACGGCUAACUACGUGCCAGCAGCCGCGGUAAUACGUAGGCGGCAAGCGUUGUCCGGAUUUACUGGGUGUAAAGGGCGUGCAGCCGGGUCUGCAAGUCAGAUGUGAAAUCCAUGGGCUCAACCCAUGAACUGCAUUUGAAACUGUAGAUCUUGAGUGUCGGAGGGGCAAUCGGAAUUCCUAGUGUAGCGGUGAAAUGCGUAGAUAUUAGGAGGAACACCAGUGGCGAAGGCGGAUUGCUGGACGAUAACUGACGGUGAGGCGCGAAAGUGUGGGGAGCAAACAGGAUUAGAUACCCUGGUAGUCCACACUGUAAACGAUGAAUACUAGGUGUGCGGGGACUGACCCCCUGCGUGCCGCAGUAAACACAAUAAGUAUUCCACCUGGGGAGUACGAUCGCAAGGUUG
Molecule: ribosomal RNA, 839 nt
Filed under: uncultured bacterium
Lineage: Bacteria
Description: bacterial SSU rRNA
Rfam family: Bacterial small subunit ribosomal RNA
Source: RNAcentral